Molecule: ribosomal RNA, 255 nt
Filed under: uncultured bacterium
Lineage: Bacteria
Description: partial 16S ribosomal RNA
Rfam family: Bacterial small subunit ribosomal RNA
Source: RNAcentral
CGGACGGGUGAGUAACGCGUGGGUAACCUGCCGUAUGCAGGGGGAUAACACUUAGAAAUAGGUGCUAACAACCGCAUAAGCGCACGAGAGCGCAUGCUUUGUGUGAAAAACUCCGGUGGCAUACGAUGGACCCGCGUCUGAUUAGCCAGUUGGCAGGGUAACGGCCUACCAAAGCGACGAUCAGUAGCCGGCCUGAGAGGGCGGACGGCCACAUUGGGACUGAGACACGGCCCAAACUCCUACGGGAGGCAGCAG